AAUCAACGCUGGCGGCGUGCCUCAGACAUGCAAGUCGAACGCGAAAGUUUCCUUCGGGAGACAAGUAGAGUGGCGCACGGGUGAGUAACACGUAGGUAAUCUACCUUCGGAUGGGGAAUAACAAUCGGAAACGGUUGCUAAUACCGCAUAAUGCAGCGGCACCUAAUGGUGACAGUUGUUAAAGCGGGGGAUCGAAAGACCUCGCGUCUGAAGAGGAGCCUGCGGCGGAUUAGCUAGUUGGUAAGGUAAUGGCUUACCAAGGCGACGAUCCGUAACCGGCCUGAGAGGGCGGUCGGUCACACUGACACUGACAUACGGGUCAGACUCCUACGGGAGGCAGCAGUCGGGAAUCUUGCGCAAUGGGCGAAAGCCUGACGCAGCGACGCCGCGUGAGGGAUGACGGCCUGG
Molecule: ribosomal RNA, 408 nt
Filed under: uncultured bacterium
Lineage: Bacteria
Description: bacterial SSU rRNA
Rfam family: Bacterial small subunit ribosomal RNA
Source: RNAcentral